Molecule: ribosomal RNA, 301 nt
Filed under: uncultured bacterium
Lineage: Bacteria
Description: partial 16S ribosomal RNA
Rfam family: Bacterial small subunit ribosomal RNA
Source: RNAcentral
CAGUAGCCGCGGUAAUACGUAGGGUGCGAGCGUUAAUCGGAAUUACUGGGCGUAGAGCGUGCGCAGGCGGUUGUGUAAGACAGGUGUGAAAUCCCCGGGCUUAACCUGGGAACUGCGCUUGUGACUGCACAGCUAGAGUAUGGCAGAGGGGGGUGGAAUUCCACGUGUAGCAGUGAAAUGCGUAGAGAUGUGGAGGAACACCGAUGGCGAAGGCAGCCCCCUGGGCCAAUACUGACGCUCAUGCACGAAAGCGUGGGGAGCAAACAGGAUUAGAUACCCCCGUAGUCCCUGUCUCUUAUAC